GACCUGGUGGUGAAUGGAUCACACCCACCCUUCUUAUGUGCUCGCUGAUAUUGUGAGGUGGGAGCUCCCGGUUCGAUUCCGGGUCAGGUCA
This is a non-coding RNA of Mycena metata, 91 nucleotides long. The record is from the annotation of a GenBank genome assembly. Lineage: Eukaryota; Fungi; Basidiomycota; Agaricomycetes; Agaricales; Mycenaceae.